Molecule: ribosomal RNA, 495 nt
Filed under: uncultured bacterium
Lineage: Bacteria
Description: bacterial SSU rRNA
Rfam family: Bacterial small subunit ribosomal RNA
Source: RNAcentral
GGCUCAGGAUGAACGCUAGCGGCAGGCUUAACACAUGCAAGUCGAGGGGCAGCAUGAGGUUAGCAAUAACUCUUGAUUGGCGACCGGCGCAAGGGUGCGUAACGCGUGAGCAACUUGCCCGUUUCUGGGGAAUAACCGGUGGAAACGCCGACUAAUACCCCAUAGUAUAGCGAAGAGGCAUCUUUUUGUUAUUAAAGAAUUUCGGAAACGGAUAGGCUCGCGUGACAUUAGCUAGAUGGCGGGGUAACGGCCCACCAUGGCGACGAUGUCUAGGGGUUCUGAGAGGAAGGUCCCCCACACUGGAACUGAGACACGGUCCAGACUCCUACGGGAGGCAGCAGUGAGGAAUAUUGGUCAAUGGUCUGACGACUGAACCAGCCAUGCCGCGUGAAGGAAACGGCCCUAUGGGUCUUAAACUUCUUUUGUAAGGGAGCAAUAAGCGCCACGUGUGGCGUGAUGAGAGUACCUUACGAAUAAGCAUCGGCUAACUCCGUG